CGAAGCAACGCGAACGAACCUUACCAGGCCUUGACAUGCAGAGAACUUUCCAGAGAUGGAUUGGUGCCUUCGGGAACUCUGACACAGGUGCUGCAUGGCUGUCGUCAGCUCGUGUCGUGAGAUGUUGGGUUAAGUCCCGUAACGAGCGCAACCCUUGCCUUUAGUUGCCAGCAGUUCGGCUGGGCACUCUAAAGGGACUGCCGGUGUUAAACCGGAGGAAGGUGGGGAUGACGUCAAGUCCUCAUGGCCUUUAUGACCAGGGCUACACACGUACUACAAUGGCCGAUACAAAGGGCAGCGACACUGCGAGGUGAAGCCAAUCCCGUAAAAUCGGUCUCAGUCCGGAUUGGAGUCUGCAACUCGACUCCAUGAAGUUGGAAUCGCUAGUAAUCGUGGAUCAGCAUGCCACGGUGAAUACGUUCCCGGGCCUU
RNAcentral lists this ribosomal RNA (431 nucleotides) under uncultured Desulfobulbus sp. Its description in RNAcentral is "bacterial SSU rRNA". It matches the Rfam family "Bacterial small subunit ribosomal RNA", at positions 952 to 1382 of the family's 1533-position model. Lineage: Bacteria; Pseudomonadati; Thermodesulfobacteriota; Desulfobulbia; Desulfobulbales; Desulfobulbaceae. The record is from RNAcentral.